RNAcentral lists this ribosomal RNA (497 nucleotides) under uncultured bacterium. RNAcentral's name for it is "partial 16S ribosomal RNA". It matches the Rfam family "Bacterial small subunit ribosomal RNA", at positions 28 to 507 of the family's 1533-position model. The record is from RNAcentral.
GAUGAACGCUGGCGGCGUGCCUAAUACAUGCAAGUCGAGCGAACGGACGAGAAGCUUGCUUCUCUGAUGUUAGCGGCGGACGGGUGAGUAACACGUGGAUAACCUACCUAUAAGACUGGGAUAACUUCGGGAAACCGCAGCUAAUACCGGAUAAUAUUUUGAACCGCAUGGUUCAAAAGUGAAAGACGGUCUUGCUGUCACUUAUAGAUGGAUCCGCGCUGCAUUAGCUAGUUGGUAAGGUAACGGCUUACCAAGGCAACGAUGCAUAGCCGACCUGAGAGGGUGAUCGGCCACACUGGAACUGAGACACGGUCCAGACUCCUACGGGAGGCAGCAGUAGGGAAUCUUCCGCAAUGGGCGAAAGCCUGACGGAGCAACGCCGCGUGAGUGAUGAAGGUCUUCGGAUCGUAAAACUCUGUUAUUAGGGAAGAACAUAUGUGUAAGUAACUGUGCACAUCUUGACGGUACUUAAUCAGAAAGCCACGGCUAACUACGUG